This 467-nucleotide ribosomal RNA is filed under the name uncultured bacterium. Its description in RNAcentral is "partial 16S ribosomal RNA". It matches the Rfam family "Bacterial small subunit ribosomal RNA", at positions 28 to 507 of the family's 1533-position model. The record is from RNAcentral.
GAUGAACGCUGGCGGCGUGCUUAACACAUGCAAGUCGAACGGAAAGGCUCCUGCUUGCAGGGGUACUCGAGUGGCGAACGGGUGAGUAACACGUGGGUGAUCUGCCCUGCACUUCGGGAUAAGCCUGGGAAACUGGGUCUAAUACCGGAUAGGACCACAUUUUGGAUGGUGUGGUGGAAAGUUUUUCGGUGUGGGAUGAGCUCGCGGCCUAUCAGCUUGUUGGUGGGGUAAUGGCCUACCAAGGCGUCGACGGGUAGCCGGCCUGAGAGGGUGUACGGCCACAUUGGGAGUGAGAGACGAGCCAGACUCCUACGGGAGGCAGCAGGGGGGAAUAUUGCACAAUGGGCGAAAGCCUGAUGCAGCGACGCCGCGUGAGGGAUGAAGGCCGUCGGGUUGUAAACUCCUUUCGCUAGGGACGAAGCGAUUUUGUGACGGUACCUGGAGAAGAAGCACCGGCUAACUACGUG